GCCGAAAUGGCGGAACUGGCAGACGCGCACGUUUCAGGGGCGUGUUCCCGUAAGGGAGUGUGGGUUCGACUCCCACUUUCGGCA
Molecule: transfer RNA, 84 nt
Filed under: Saprospiraceae bacterium
Lineage: Bacteria; Pseudomonadati; Bacteroidota; Saprospiria; Saprospirales; Saprospiraceae
Description: tRNA-Leu
Rfam family: tRNA
About the family: Transfer RNA (tRNA) molecules are approximately 80 nucleotides in length.
Source: RNAcentral